AUUGAACGCUGGCGGCAUGCCUUACACAUGCAAGUCGAGCGCGAAAGGGGGCAACCCCGAGUAGAGCGGCGGACGGGUGAGUAACGCAUCGGAACGUGCCCAGUAGUGGGGGACAACCUCGAGAAAUCGAGGCUAAUACCGCAUACGACCCACGGGUGAAAGCGGGGGACCGCAAGGCCUCGCGCUAUUGGAGCGGCCGAUGUCCGAUUAGCUAGUUGGCGGGGUAAGAGCCCACCAAGGCGACGAUCGGUAGCUGGUCUGAGAGGACGACCAGCCACACUGGGACUGAGACACGGCCCAGACUCCUACGGGAGGCAGCAGUGGGGAAUCUUGCGCAAUGGGCGAAAGCCUGACGCAGCGACGCCGCGUGGGGGACGAAGGCCUUCGGGUUGUAAA
This 396-nucleotide ribosomal RNA is filed under the name uncultured bacterium. Its description in RNAcentral is "bacterial SSU rRNA". It matches the Rfam family "Bacterial small subunit ribosomal RNA", at positions 29 to 429 of the family's 1533-position model. The record is from RNAcentral.